CUCGGGUAUCAUAUGCUUUCGGGCGCGCCCUUCGGGGUGUUCGGUGGAAGGGGAAAUCCCGCGUGGGAAUGUCCCAGAUCUUUUGAUUAUGCUUGGCUUGAGGUGAAUAAUACCUUAUACGCCCUUCAGGGGAACGAUUUAAUGCAUUUGGAUCACUCCGAAUACCAUUUGAUAAGGGGGGGGGUAACGGCCUACCUGAUCCUGAAUCUAUAACUGGUGUUGAGCGAAGAGGAUUAACUAUGGCAGUGAUACACGGCCCAAACUCCUGCCGGAGGCUGCUGGGGGGAAUCUUAGACAAUGGGCGCAAGCCUGAUCGUCCCAUGCCGCGAGAGUGACCAAGGCCCUAGGGUCGUAAGGAACUUUCGGGGGCGAUGAUAAUGACAGGACCUGGUGGAUAAAUUCCAGGAAACUCCAUGCACCUUACCACGGCUUAACUGAGGGGGGAAACGUUGUUCGAUAUAUUUUUCUUCAAACACUUUACAAGGUGCUUUGGAAAGUGUGGGGGUGAAAUUGCGGGGCUCAACCCCGUUAACUGCCUCCAACGAUAUCAACCCUUGUUUCUAGAUGCCUGAGUGGAACUCCGAGUACUCAAGCGAGAUUCCCAGAGCUUCCCAAGAACACCAUUGGGAAGAGCGGCUCUCUGCAUCGA
This 649-nucleotide ribosomal RNA is filed under the name uncultured bacterium. RNAcentral describes it as "bacterial SSU rRNA". It matches the Rfam family "Bacterial small subunit ribosomal RNA", at positions 61 to 737 of the family's 1533-position model. The record is from RNAcentral.